Molecule: ribosomal RNA, 585 nt
Filed under: uncultured bacterium
Lineage: Bacteria
Description: partial 16S ribosomal RNA
Rfam family: Bacterial small subunit ribosomal RNA
Source: RNAcentral
UGGGGAAUUUUGGACAAUGGGCGAAAGCCUGAUCCAGCAAUGCCGCGUGUGUGAAGAAGGCCUUCGGGUUGUAAAGCACUUUUGUCCGGAAAGAAAUCCUUGGCUCUAAUACAGUCGGGGGAUGACGGUACCGGAAGAAUAAGCACCGGCUAACUACGUGCCAGCAGCCGCGGUAAUACGUAGGGUGCAAGCGUUAAUCGGAAUUACUGGGCGUAAAGCGUGCGCAGGCGGUUUGCUAAGACCGAUGUGAAAUCCCCGGGCUCAACCUGGGAACUGCAUUGGUGACUGGCAGGCUAGAGUAUGGCAGAGGGGGGUAGAAUUCCACGUGUAGCAGUGAAAUGCGUAGAGAUGUGGAGGAAUACCGAUGGCGAAGGCAGCCCCCUGGGCCAAUACUGACGCUCAUGCACGAAAGCGUGGGGAGCAAACAGGAUUAGAUACCCUGGUAGUCCACGCCCUAAGCGAUGUCAACUAGUUGUUGGGGAUUCAUUUCCUUAGUAACGUAGCUAACGCGUGAAGUUGACCGCCUGGGGAGUACGGUCGCAAGAUUAAAACUCAAAGGAAUUGACGGGGUCAUAGCUGUUUCCU